CCUACGGGAGGCUGCAGUAGGGAAUUUUGCGCAAUGGGCGAAAGCCUGACGCAGCAACGCCGCGUGAUCGAGACGCCUUUCGGGGUGUAAAGAUCUGUCAGUGGGGACGAAACUUGACGGUACCUACAGAGGAAGCACCGGCUAACUCCGUGCCAGCAGCCGCGGUAAUACGGGGGGUGCAAGCGUUGCCCGGAAUCAUUGGGCGUAAAGAGUUCGUAGGCGGGACGGAAAGUCUGGUGUUAAAGGCAGAGGCUCAACUACGGAACUGCCUCUGAUACUGUUCUUCUAGAGUGUAGUUGAGGUAGGCGGAAUGUAUGGUGUAGCGGUAAAAUGCUUAGAGAUCAUGCAGAACACUGAUUGCGAAGGCAGCUUGCCAGGCUACUUCUGACGUUGAGGCGCGAAAGCGUGGGGAGCAAACAGGAUUAGAUACCCGAGUAGUC
Molecule: ribosomal RNA, 440 nt
Filed under: uncultured bacterium
Lineage: Bacteria
Description: partial 16S ribosomal RNA
Rfam family: Bacterial small subunit ribosomal RNA
Source: RNAcentral